UACAGAGGGUGCAAGCGUUAAUCGGAAUUACUGGGCGUAAAGCGCGCGUAGGUGGUUCGUUAAGUUGGAUGUGAAAUCCCCCGGGCUCAACCUGGGAACUGCACUCAAAACUGACGAGCUAGAGUAUGGUAGAGGGUGGUGGAAUUUCCUGUGUAGCGGUGAAAUGCGUAGAUAUAGGAAGGAACACCAGUGGCGAAGGCGACCACCUGGACUGAUACUGACACUGAGGUGCGAAAGCGUGGGGAGCAAACAGG
This 254-nucleotide ribosomal RNA is filed under the name uncultured Pseudomonas sp. RNAcentral's name for it is "partial 16S ribosomal RNA". It matches the Rfam family "Bacterial small subunit ribosomal RNA", at positions 524 to 776 of the family's 1533-position model. Lineage: Bacteria; Pseudomonadati; Pseudomonadota; Gammaproteobacteria; Pseudomonadales; Pseudomonadaceae. The record is from RNAcentral.